GGCUCCGAGAGGUAUUUGAAUUGCAAAUUCAAAGAAGCAGCCGCAGACGCUGCCGGGGCUU
This 61-nucleotide transfer RNA is filed under the name Cabassous tatouay (greater naked-tailed armadillo). Its description in RNAcentral is "tRNA-Cys". The record is from RNAcentral. Lineage: Eukaryota; Metazoa; Chordata; Mammalia; Cingulata; Chlamyphoridae.